RNAcentral lists this ribosomal RNA (253 nucleotides) under uncultured bacterium. RNAcentral describes it as "partial 16S ribosomal RNA". It matches the Rfam family "Bacterial small subunit ribosomal RNA", at positions 524 to 776 of the family's 1533-position model. The record is from RNAcentral.
UACAGAGGGUGCGAGCGUUAAUCGGAAUUACUGGGCGUAAAGCGCACGUAGUCGGCUUUGCAAGUCGGUUGUGAAAUCCCCGGGCUCAACCUGGGAACUGCAUCCGAGACUGCAUUGCUAGAGUAUGGGAGAGGAAAGCGGAAUUUCUGGUGUAGCAGUGAAAUGCGUAGAUAUCAGAAGGAACAUCAGUGGCGAAGGCGGCUCUCUGGACCGAUACUGACGCUGAGGCGCGAAAGCGUGGGGAGCAAACAGG